This is a long non-coding RNA of Plectropomus leopardus (leopard coralgrouper), 283 nucleotides long. RefSeq lists it as uncharacterized. NCBI's taxonomy places the organism in Eukaryota, Metazoa, Chordata, Actinopteri, Perciformes, Serranidae. The record is from RefSeq and is a predicted model, not a curated record.
AGAUUCCUCAAAGGCCCUUUCUGCUCUCCAGACUCUACCUGCCUGCUCCUUCUGCUGCCACACAUCACUUCAGGAAACUGAUGAACUGUACCGACCUCAGAUUAACCUCCGACCCCGUCUUUCUUUUUCUGCAAUCCCAGGCCAUCACUGGAGGUUCCAGAAGAUCAGGCGUAAGGAAGAGAGAUAUCAGAUAACAAGGCGGCGUGGAGGCGCAGCACGUGGUGUGGCAUGCUCCGCCGCCGCAACCACCGGGAAUGAAGUGACAGGCCGUGGUGGAGCACAG